Molecule: ribosomal RNA, 524 nt
Filed under: uncultured bacterium
Lineage: Bacteria
Description: partial 16S ribosomal RNA
Rfam family: Bacterial small subunit ribosomal RNA
Source: RNAcentral
GACGAACGCUGGCGGCGUGCCUAAUACAUGCAAGUCGAACGCUUCUUUUCCCCCCGGAGCUUGCUCCACCGGGAAAAGAGGGGUGGCGAACGGGUGAGUAACACGUGGGUAACCUGCCCAUCAGAAGGGGAUAACACUUGGAAACAGGUGCUAAUACCGUAUAACAAUCGAAACCGCAUGGUUUCGUUUUGAAAGGCGCUUUACGGUGCCGCUGAUGGAUGGACCCGCGGUGCAUUAGCUAGUUGGUGAGGUAACGGCUCACCAAGGCCACGAUGCAGAGCCGACCUGAGGGGGUGAUGGGCCACAUUGGGACUGAGACACGGCCCAAACUCCUACGGGAGGCAGCAGUAGGGAAUCUUCGGCAAUGGACGAAAGUCUGACCGAGCAACGCCGCGUGAGUGAAGAAGGUUUUCGGAUCGUAAAACUCUGUUGUUAGAGAAGAACAAGGGUGAGAGUAACUGUUCACCCCUUGACGGUAUCUAACCAGAAAGCCACGGCUAACUACGUGCCAGCCGCCGCCGUAA